GAUGAACGCUGGCGGCGCGCCUAAUACAUGCAAGUCGAGCGAACAGAUAAGGAGCUUGCUCCUUUGACGUUAGCGGCGGACGGGUGAGUAACACGUGGGUAACCUACCUAUAAGACUGGGAUAACUUCGGGAAACCGGAGCUAAUACCGGAUAACAUUUGGAACCGCAUGGUUCUAAAGUGAAAGAUGGUUUUGCUAUCACUUAUAGAUGGACCCGCGCCGUAUUAGCUAGUUGGUAAGGUAACGGCUUACCAAGGCAACGAUACGUAGCCGACCUGAGAGGGUGAUCGGGCACACUGGAACUGAGACACGGUCCAGACUCCUACGGGAGGCAGCAGUAGGGAAUCUUCCGCAAUGGGCGAAAGCCUGACGGAGCAACGCCGCGUGAGUGAUGAAGGGCUUCGGAUCGUAAAACUCUGUUAUUAGGGAAGAACAAACGUGUAAGUAACUGUGCACGUCUUGACGGUACCUAAUCAGAAAGCCACGGCUAACUACGUG
RNAcentral lists this ribosomal RNA (497 nucleotides) under uncultured bacterium. Its description in RNAcentral is "partial 16S ribosomal RNA". It matches the Rfam family "Bacterial small subunit ribosomal RNA", at positions 28 to 507 of the family's 1533-position model. The record is from RNAcentral.